AGAGUGAACGCUGGCGGUAGGCCUAACACAUGCAAGUCGAACGGCAGCACAGUAGGAGCUUGCUCUUACGGGUGGCGAGUGGCGGACGGGUGAGGAAUACAUCGGAAUCUACCUUUUGGUGGGGGAUAACGUAGGGAAACUUACGCUAAUACCGCAUACGCCCUUCGGGGGAAAGCCGGGGACCAGCAAUGGCCUGGCGCUGAUAGAUGAGCCGAUGUCGGAUUAGCUAGUUGGUGAGGUAAUGGCUCACCGAAGGCGACGAUCCGUAGCUGGUCUGAGAGGAUGAUCAGCCACACUGGAACUGAGACACGGUCCAGACUCCUACGGGAGGCAGCGAGUGGGGAAUGUUAGGACAAGUGGGACGCGAAGCCUGAUCCAGCCAGUACCGCGGUAGGU
Molecule: ribosomal RNA, 396 nt
Filed under: uncultured soil bacterium
Lineage: Bacteria
Description: bacterial SSU rRNA
Rfam family: Bacterial small subunit ribosomal RNA
Source: RNAcentral